Long non-coding RNA from Hippocampus comes (tiger tail seahorse), 912 nucleotides. RefSeq lists it as uncharacterized. The transcript is spliced from 2 exons. The record is from RefSeq and is a predicted model, not a curated record. NCBI's taxonomy places the organism in Eukaryota, Metazoa, Chordata, Actinopteri, Syngnathiformes, Syngnathidae.
GAUGGUUUCAAAGAUAAAUAGGAAUCGUACAAGGCGGGCGCGUAUAUUUCCGUGCAGGGGGAGGCAGUGAACACAACGCGCGGGGGCCGCUGAAAAGUCCGGCGCUUGACAUUUUUAUUAUUAUGGAUGUGCCCACGCAGAUGAAAUGAGAGGAGGGAAGAAGGCCACCCGAGAGUUUUCUUCACGUCUCAUCAGGAAGAGAGAGAAAUAAAUUAUGCAACUUUUUGCUUGCAUGUAACCACCAGUUCCAGAUAUCUUGCUGAAGGAUGUUAAUGGCAGAUUUUUUUUUUUAUACAAGAAUAAUUUAUGACAAGUUUAUUUGUGCGUUGAGUUUUUUUUACGCACUACUUUCCAAGGCGAAUGCAGGUAACCUAAUGAUUACUUCAGUCUCGUUUUUCAAUCAAAAAUAAAUGAUGUGCAUUCUGAUAGUUUGUCUGAAUUAAAAGAGAUAUGCUUUGGUUGUAUUUCAAUUGUUUUAUUUACUUCUUCGAACUGGAGCAGCAUGGAAUGUAUGAAAGGGUUUGUCGUGUGUUUGAAUAUUUUUCAAUAAAGAAACGACGAAAGUGUAUCCUCAUUUCCACCCUUAUUGUGUCGACCGAUUGAUUUUAUAUUCCGUAAGAAAAUUAAAAUAAAAACGAAUUGUUUAAUCGAAGAAGAAGGGUGGAAAUGGAGCUUGCGUGGUUAGGACGUGGGCUGAAAAUGGGGAGGGGGGGGGGUCUUGAACCCACUGAGCUUCUCGCAAGGGUGUCAAAUAAUAACAGGACUACUUUUAACACUAAACAAAAAAUAAAUAACAUCAGAAAGUCCAAAUAGAACAAAACGAGCAAAAGGGUUGCAGCCGAUUAGCUCGUGACCCUUAAUUUGACAAAUGCAUUUCUUUCACGUAUGCCCUGGAUCCUUUCACAAGUGCAA